GUNUUAAAGAUUUUAAUUUUAAGUNUAAUCUGCCCAAUGAAAUUUUUAAAUGGCUGCAGUAUUUUAACUGUACAAAGGUAGCAUAAUAAUUUGUUUUUUAAAUGAAAACUAGAAUGAAUGAUUAAAUGAAAUAUAAACUGUUUCAAUUAAAUAAAUUUAAAUUUUUAUUUAAGUAAAAAAACUUAAAUAAUUUUUUAAGACGAUAAGACCCUAUAGAAUUUUAUUUAUUAAAAAAAUUUUUUUUUUAAUAAAUUUUAUUGGGGUAAUAUAAAAAUUAAAUUAAUUUUUUAUUAAAAAUACAUUUAUAAAUGAUAAUUAAAUCUUAAUUUUUAAAUUAAAAAAAUUAAUUACCUUAGGGAUAACAGCAUAAUUUUUUUUGAAAGAUCUUAUUAAUAAAAAAGAUUAU
RNAcentral lists this ribosomal RNA (406 nucleotides) under Trispinaria sp. RNAcentral's name for it is "partial 16S ribosomal RNA". Lineage: Eukaryota; Metazoa; Arthropoda; Insecta; Hymenoptera; Braconidae. The record is from RNAcentral.